Long non-coding RNA from Panthera uncia (snow leopard), 1790 nucleotides. RefSeq lists it as uncharacterized. The transcript is spliced from 4 exons. NCBI's taxonomy places the organism in Eukaryota, Metazoa, Chordata, Mammalia, Carnivora, Felidae. The record is from RefSeq and is a predicted model, not a curated record.
AACCUCUGAAGAGAAAGGCGUCCCGGCCUGCGGGUAGGGAGCUACGGGCGCGUAUCUCGGUCACACGCACCGAGGGGCGCCGGUGACGAGCGAGUCCUCUGAGGCGAGCCUUGUCCGACAGCCGCUGCCCGCUUCCUCAGCCUCCGCUCUGCCCAGGCUGCCCCGACCCGGGGCGGGGGUGCAUUUUGCGUGUCCCGACGCGGCCGGAUCCUCUGCCGGCCGAGGCCCGGCGGGCUGCUGACCGCGGCUCGGCUCGUUCGAAAGAGGCCGCGAGAGUCCGCCUUGACCUCUCGGGCGCCCCCACCCGCGCAACCGGCGGCCGACGCGGCAAAGCCACCCAACCGACGCGUCCUCGCGCGAGGUGGCUGCGCGGAGGCCGGACGAACAGAAACCCGCCACGCGUGCGAAAGCUCUGUCUACAUUCGGAAAGCGGUAAGAACGUGUCGUACGAUGACCAAUGUCCACCUUAAGAGUAUCACGACAGCUCGUAGAUUUGUCAGCAGACCACACAACACGCUAUUGACGACAAGGUAGACUCUCUACAAGUUCAAAAUGUAGAUCGUGUGGCACCAUCCCAACGCCAGCAUCGUUUGUUUUUCCAGGGGCCCUGACGUCACACGCCACUGGAAGGUCCUCUUCCAAAAGAGUAUCAUGAGCUUUUACGAAAAGCGGUCACUUGUUUCCAUGGUAACCAGGACUGGUGACAACGCUCCCUCCCCGACAGCUCAAGCCCCAGGAGCCAUGGGUGAAGGGAACCAGUGGCUGCUGCCAGGAUCCAGACAUCACCCCCAAAGCCUCAGCCUGGUCCAAGCCGCAGACAAAGCUCUCCACAGGAGCAGUUUGAGCGGCAUCCCGGGAUUCUAAGGAAACUGCAUCCGGGCAGGACAUUUUCUUCUAGAACACUGGUUAGAUUCGACUAGAACUGGAGCAAGAAAAUACUUCUGUGGCAUAAUGUCUACUGAGGGGAAAGAACAAUGAUGCGCGGUAACAUUCAAUCAGGCCCUAAACUGACAGGGAGAUUCCACCUGGGCGACGCCACGGUGGCUGCUGGGCCAGGUGUCCCUGACAGCAUUGGGGCCACACUCACCUCAGGUGAGUCCCGCUCCCCCGUCAAACACAGGAUACAGGUAACACCUGGGACUGCUCCUUCAGCAGACAGGAAGUCCCUUCUGGUGCCUCCUCCUUUCAACCGAGAUGUGUCACCAACGACACUUAAUUACUGUUGUCCAGUAAUUGUCCAGUAAUUGCACCGCUGUCAUCUGCGUUUCCCAAGUUCUUUGGGCGCGCAUCACGCAGCCAAAGGGGUCACUUCUACCUGGGACUUAUCCACCAGCCCGGUUGAACCGGCCUUCCUUUGCCCCGAGCAGGGAAGUUCCAAGCAGGGUUCAUCGGUGUUCGGUGAAAGCAAAGAAAAUCCAAACCGCGGCAAAGCAAGUGGGGGAAAGGGGCCCAGGCCCGCACCUUGGCCGCUUAUACACACGGUUGGUGUAUUUAUGAAACCUGUUGUGCCAGUCGAAGGGGGACCAUCCAGGGUAAAAGUCAGACCCGUCCAUCCUCGUUCCUCCGGGCGCGCGGAGGACGCCAGGCGCUGCGGGGCGGCAUCCGGACGUGGCCCCGGGGGUCGCGGGAGGAUGCGGGUCCCCGGCCGAUAAGGCUGCCCCGGGCAACCCCAACGCGCCGACCCCCACCCCCGCCGGCGCCCGGCGCCGGGAGGGCGACUGUGCCCUGCGGCCACAGGGCCCACCUUGGAGCGGUCGCCGACAAGGGCGACGAGGGCGACGGGCUGCAGA